Molecule: ribosomal RNA, 254 nt
Filed under: uncultured bacterium
Lineage: Bacteria
Description: partial 16S ribosomal RNA
Rfam family: Bacterial small subunit ribosomal RNA
Source: RNAcentral
UACAGAGACUGCAAGCGUUAUUCGGAUUCACUGGGCGUAAAGGGUGCGCAGGCGGCCAAGUGUGUCAGGUGUGAAAUCCCGAGGCUUAACCUCGGAACUGCGCCUGAAACUACUUGGCUAGAGUACUGGAGAGGGUAACGGAAUUCACGGUGUAGCAGUGAAAUGCGUAGAUAUCGUGAGGAACACCAGAGGCGAAGGCGGUUACCUGGACAGUUACUGACGCUCAGGCACGGAAAGCGUGGGGAGCAAAAGGG